This 541-nucleotide ribosomal RNA is filed under the name uncultured Glomeromycotina. Its description in RNAcentral is "SSU rRNA". It matches the Rfam family "Eukaryotic small subunit ribosomal RNA", at positions 551 to 1098 of the family's 1831-position model. The record is from RNAcentral. Lineage: Eukaryota; Fungi; Glomeromycota.
GAGGGCAAGUCUGGUGCCAGCAGCCGCGGUAAUUCCAGCUCCAAUAGCGUAUAUUAAAGUUGUUGCAGUUAAAAAGCUCGUAGUUGAAUUUCGGGGUUCUACCGUUGGUCGGGCUUUGUCUGUACUGGUGUGUAGAAUUUCUACCUUCUGGGGAACCAUCAUGCUAUUAAUUUAGCGUGGUGGGAAACCAGGACCUUUACCUUGAAAAAAUUAGUGUGUUCAAAGCAGGCUUAUGUCUGAAUACAUUAGCGUGGAAUAAUAGAAUAGGACGGUGGUCCUGUUUUGUUGGUUUCUGAAUCACCGUAAUGAUUAAUAGGGAUAGUUGGGGGCAUUAGUAUUCAAUUGUCAGAGGUGAAAUUCUUGGAUUUAUUGAAGACUAACUUCUGCGAAAGCAUUUGCCAAGGAUGUUUUCAUUAAUCAAGAACGAAAGUUAGGGGAUCGAAGACGAUCAGAUACCGUCGUAGUCUUAACCAUAAACUAUGCCGACUAGGGAUCGGACGAUGUUAAUUUUUCUUGACUCGUUCGGCGCCUUACGGGAAAC